RNAcentral lists this ribosomal RNA (2902 nucleotides) under Escherichia coli. RNAcentral describes it as "23S ribosomal RNA". It matches the Rfam family "Bacterial large subunit ribosomal RNA". Lineage: Bacteria; Pseudomonadati; Pseudomonadota; Gammaproteobacteria; Enterobacterales; Enterobacteriaceae. The record is from RNAcentral.
GGUUAAGCGACUAAGCGUACACGGUGGAUGCCCUGGCAGUCAGAGGCGAUGAAGGACGUGCUAAUCUGCGAUAAGCGUCGGUAAGGUGAUAUGAACCGUUAUAACCGGCGAUUUCCGAAUGGGGAAACCCAGUGUGUUUCGACACACUAUCAUUAACUGAAUCCAUAGGUUAAUGAGGCGAACCGGGGGAACUGAAACAUCUAAGUACCCCGAGGAAAAGAAAUCAACCGAGAUUCCCCCAGUAGCGGCGAGCGAACGGGGAGGAGCCCAGAGCCUGAAUCAGUGUGUGUGUUAGUGGAAGCGUCUGGAAAGGCGCGCGAUACAGGGUGACAGCCCCGUACACAAAAAUGCACAUGCUGUGAGCUCGAUGAGUAGGGCGGGACACGUGGUAUCCUGUCUGAAUAUGGGGGACCAUCCUCCAAGGCUAAAUACUCCUGACUGACCGAUAGUGAACCAGUACCGUGAGGGAAAGGCGAAAAGAACCCCGGCGAGGGGAGUGAAAAAGAACCUGAAACCGUGUACGUACAAGCAGUGGGAGCACGCUUAGGCGUGUGACUGCGUACCUUUUGUAUAAUGGGUCAGCGACUUAUAUUCUGUAGCAAGGUUAACCGAAUAGGGGAGCCGAAGGGAAACCGAGUCUUAACUGGGCGUUAAGUUGCAGGGUAUAGACCCGAAACCCGGUGAUCUAGCCAUGGGCAGGUUGAAGGUUGGGUAACACUAACUGGAGGACCGAACCGACUAAUGUUGAAAAAUUAGCGGAUGACUUGUGGCUGGGGGUGAAAGGCCAAUCAAACCGGGAGAUAGCUGGUUCUCCCCGAAAGCUAUUUAGGUAGCGCCUCGUGAAUUCAUCUCCGGGGUAGAGCACUGUUUCGGCAAGGGGGUCAUCCCGACUUACCAACCCGAUGCAAACUGCGAAUACCGGAGAAUGUUAUCACGGGAGACACACGGCGGGUGCUAACGUCCGUCGUGAAGAGGGAAACAACCCAGACCGCCAGCUAAGGUCCCAAAGUCAUGGUUAAGUGGGAAACGAUGUGGGAAGGCCCAGACAGCCAGGAUGUUGGCUUAGAAGCAGCCAUCAUUUAAAGAAAGCGUAAUAGCUCACUGGUCGAGUCGGCCUGCGCGGAAGAUGUAACGGGGCUAAACCAUGCACCGAAGCUGCGGCAGCGACGCUUAUGCGUUGUUGGGUAGGGGAGCGUUCUGUAAGCCUGUGAAGGUGUGCUGUGAGGCAUGCUGGAGGUAUCAGAAGUGCGAAUGCUGACAUAAGUAACGAUAAAGCGGGUGAAAAGCCCGCUCGCCGGAAGACCAAGGGUUCCUGUCCAACGUUAAUCGGGGCAGGGUGAGUCGACCCCUAAGGCGAGGCCGAAAGGCGUAGUCGAUGGGAAACAGGUUAAUAUUCCUGUACUUGGUGUUACUGCGAAGGGGGGACGGAGAAGGCUAUGUUGGCCGGGCGACGGUUGUCCCGGUUUAAGCGUGUAGGCUGGUUUUCCAGGCAAAUCCGGAAAAUCAAGGCUGAGGCGUGAUGACGAGGCACUACGGUGCUGAAGCAACAAAUGCCCUGCUUCCAGGAAAAGCCUCUAAGCAUCAGGUAACAUCAAAUCGUACCCCAAACCGACACAGGUGGUCAGGUAGAGAAUACCAAGGCGCUUGAGAGAACUCGGGUGAAGGAACUAGGCAAAAUGGUGCCGUAACUUCGGGAGAAGGCACGCUGAUAUGUAGGUGAAGUCCCUCGCGGAUGGAGCUGAAAUCAGUCGAAGAUACCAGCUGGCUGCAACUGUUUAUUAAAAACACAGCACUGUGCAAACACGAAAGUGGACGUAUACGGUGUGACGCCUGCCCGGUGCCGGAAGGUUAAUUGAUGGGGUCAGCGCAAGCGAAGCUCUUGAUCGAAGCCCCGGUAAACGGCGGCCGUAACUAUAACGGUCCUAAGGUAGCGAAAUUCCUUGUCGGGUAAGUUCCGACCUGCACGAAUGGCGUAAUGAUGGCCAGGCUGUCUCCACCCGAGACUCAGUGAAAUUGAACUCGCUGUGAAGAUGCAGUGUACCCGCGGCAAGACGGAAAGACCCCGUGAACCUUUACUAUAGCUUGACACUGAACAUUGAGCCUUGAUGUGUAGGAUAGGUGGGAGGCUUAGAAGUGUGGACGCCAGUCUGCAUGGAGCCGACCUUGAAAUACCACCCUUUAAUGUUUGAUGUUCUAACGUUGACCCGUAAUCCGGGUUGCGGACAGUGUCUGGUGGGUAGUUUGACUGGGGCGGUCUCCUCCUAAAGAGUAACGGAGGAGCACGAAGGUUGGCUAAUCCUGGUCGGACAUCAGGAGGUUAGUGCAAUGGCAUAAGCCAGCUUGACUGCGAGCGUGACGGCGCGAGCAGGUGCGAAAGCAGGUCAUAGUGAUCCGGUGGUUCUGAAUGGAAGGGCCAUCGCUCAACGGAUAAAAGGUACUCCGGGGAUAACAGGCUGAUACCGCCCAAGAGUUCAUAUCGACGGCGGUGUUUGGCACCUCGAUGUCGGCUCAUCACAUCCUGGGGCUGAAGUAGGUCCCAAGGGUAUGGCUGUUCGCCAUUUAAAGUGGUACGCGAGCUGGGUUUAGAACGUCGUGAGACAGUUCGGUCCCUAUCUGCCGUGGGCGCUGGAGAACUGAGGGGGGCUGCUCCUAGUACGAGAGGACCGGAGUGGACGCAUCACUGGUGUUCGGGUUGUCAUGCCAAUGGCACUGCCCGGUAGCUAAAUGCGGAAGAGAUAAGUGCUGAAAGCAUCUAAGCACGAAACUUGCCCCGAGAUGAGUUCUCCCUGACCCUUUAAGGGUCCUGAAGGAACGUUGAAGACGACGACGUUGAUAGGCCGGGUGUGUAAGCGCAGCGAUGCGUUGAGCUAACCGGUACUAAUGAACCGUGAGGCUUAACCUU